RNAcentral lists this ribosomal RNA (395 nucleotides) under uncultured bacterium. RNAcentral's name for it is "bacterial SSU rRNA". It matches the Rfam family "Bacterial small subunit ribosomal RNA", at positions 505 to 898 of the family's 1533-position model. The record is from RNAcentral.
GUGCCAGCAGCCGCGGUAAGACAGAGGGUGCUAACGUUGUUCGGAAUUACUGGGCGUAAAGCGCGUGUAGGCUGCUCUGCAAGUCGGAUGUGAAAGCCCUGGGCUCAACCUGGGAAGUGCAUUCGAAACUGCGGAGCUGGAGUCCUGGAGAGGAUAGCGGAAUUCUCGGUGUAGAGGUGAAAUUCGUAGAUAUCGAGAGGAACACCGGUGGCGAAGGCGGCUAUCUGGACAGUGACUGACGCUGAGACGCGAAAGCGUGGGGAGCAAACAGGAUUAGAUACCCUGGUAGUCCACGCCGUAAACGAUGGGUGCUAGGUGUCGCGGGCUUUGACUCCUGCGGUGCCGUAGCCAACGCAUGAAGCACCCCGCCUGGGGAGUACGGCCGCAAGGCUAAA